GUCCACGCCCUAAACGAUGCGAACUGGACGUUGGGAGCAAUUAGGCUCUCAGUGUCGAAGCUAACGCGUUAAGUUCGCCGCCUGGGGAGUACGGUCGCAAGACUGAAACUCAAAGGAAUUGACGGGGGCCCGCACAAGCGGUGGAGUAUGUGGUUUAAUUCGAUGCAACGCGAAGAACCUUACCUGGCCUUGACAUCCACGGAAUCUUUGAGAGAUCAGAGAGUGCCUUCGGGAACCGUGAGACAGGUGCUGCAUGGCUGUCGU
This 264-nucleotide ribosomal RNA is filed under the name uncultured bacterium. RNAcentral's name for it is "partial 16S ribosomal RNA". It matches the Rfam family "Bacterial small subunit ribosomal RNA", at positions 793 to 1055 of the family's 1533-position model. The record is from RNAcentral.